Molecule: ribosomal RNA, 253 nt
Filed under: uncultured bacterium
Lineage: Bacteria
Description: partial 16S ribosomal RNA
Rfam family: Bacterial small subunit ribosomal RNA
Source: RNAcentral
UACGGAGGGGGCUAGCGUUGUUCGGAAUUACUGGGCGUAAAGCGCACGUAGGCGGCUUUGUAAGUUAGGGGUGAAAGCCCGGGGCUCAACUCCGGAAUUGCCUUUAAGACUGCAUCGCUAGAAUUGUGGAGAGGUAAGUGGAAUUCCGAGUGUAGAGGUGAAAUUCGUAGAUAUUCGGAAGAACACCAGUGGCGAAGGCGACUUACUGGACACAUAUUGACGCUGAGGUGCGAAAGCGUGGGGAGCAAACAGG